GCGGAAGUGGUGGAAUUGGUAGACACGCCAUCUUGAGGGGGUGGUGAGCCUAGCUCGUGCGGGUUCAAGUCCCGCCUUCCGCACCA
RNAcentral lists this transfer RNA (86 nucleotides) under Alteromonas aestuariivivens. RNAcentral's name for it is "tRNA-Leu". It matches the Rfam family "tRNA". From Rfam's summary of the family: Transfer RNA (tRNA) molecules are approximately 80 nucleotides in length. Their secondary structure includes four short double-helical elements and three loops (D, anti-codon, and T loops). Lineage: Bacteria; Pseudomonadati; Pseudomonadota; Gammaproteobacteria; Alteromonadales; Alteromonadaceae. The record is from RNAcentral.